UUAUGUAUAGGCAUAAGAUGGUAAAU
This 26-nucleotide non-coding RNA is filed under the name Rattus norvegicus (Norway rat). The record is from RNAcentral. Lineage: Eukaryota; Metazoa; Chordata; Mammalia; Rodentia; Muridae.